CCUACGGGUGGCUGCAGUGGGGAAUAUUGGACAAUGGGCGAAAGCCUUAUCCAGCCAUGCCGCGUGUGUGAAGAAGGCCUUCGGGUUGUAAAGCACUUUCAGUGGGGAAGAAAGCCUUGGGGCUAAUACCCUCGAGGAAGGACAUCACCCACAGAAGAAGCACCGGCUAACUCCAUGCCAGCAGCCGCGGUAAUACGGAGGGUGCGAGCGUUAAUCGGAAUUACUGGGCGUAAAGCGCGCGUAGGCGGUCUGAUAAGCCGGUUGUGAAAGCCCCGGGCUCAACCUGGGAACGGCAUCCGGAACUGUCAGGCUAGAGUGCAGGAGAGGAAGGUAGAAUUCCCGGUGUAGCGGUGAAAUGCGUAGAGAUCGGGAGGAAUACCAGUGGCGAAGGCGGCCUUCUGGACUGACACUGACGCUGAGGUGCGAAAGCGUGGGUAGCAAACAGGAUUAGAUACCCUUGUAGUC
This 465-nucleotide ribosomal RNA is filed under the name Vreelandella stevensii. RNAcentral describes it as "partial 16S ribosomal RNA". It matches the Rfam family "Bacterial small subunit ribosomal RNA", at positions 338 to 795 of the family's 1533-position model. Lineage: Bacteria; Pseudomonadati; Pseudomonadota; Gammaproteobacteria; Oceanospirillales; Halomonadaceae. The record is from RNAcentral.